GACAGAGGGUGCAAACGUUGUUCGGAUUUACUGGGCGUAAAGCGCGUGUAGGCGGCUUUGCAAGUCGGAUGUGAAAGCCCACGGCUCAACCGUGGAAGUGCAUCCGAAACUGCAUGGCUCGAGUCUCGGAGAGGAAGGUGGAAUGCUUGGUGUAGAGGUGAAAUUCGUAGAUAUCAGGAGGAACACCAGUGGCGAAGGCGGUGCUCUGGGCCGGAACUGACGCUGAGGAGCGAAAGCGUGGGGAGCAAACAGG
This 253-nucleotide ribosomal RNA is filed under the name uncultured bacterium. RNAcentral describes it as "partial 16S ribosomal RNA". It matches the Rfam family "Bacterial small subunit ribosomal RNA", at positions 524 to 776 of the family's 1533-position model. The record is from RNAcentral.